GUUCUGGUAGCCGAGUGGGUAAAGCACUUAUAGCUAUUUAGUCGGUACCGAAUAUCGAUGGUUCGAACCCAUCCCGGAGCA
This 81-nucleotide transfer RNA is filed under the name Rhamnusium bicolor. RNAcentral describes it as "tRNA-OTHER". It matches the Rfam family "tRNA". Rfam says of the family: Transfer RNA (tRNA) molecules are approximately 80 nucleotides in length. Their secondary structure includes four short double-helical elements and three loops (D, anti-codon, and T loops). Lineage: Eukaryota; Metazoa; Arthropoda; Insecta; Coleoptera; Cerambycidae. The record is from RNAcentral.